This 1024-nucleotide long non-coding RNA is filed under the name Salvia miltiorrhiza (redroot sage). RNAcentral describes it as "long non-coding RNA (SMIL_LNC012535)". Lineage: Eukaryota; Viridiplantae; Streptophyta; Magnoliopsida; Lamiales; Lamiaceae. The record is from RNAcentral.
UUAAUGUAACUAAGCCUAUUAACAUGUAAAGGGACAGAAAAAAAGAAGUUUGUAUAUAAUGAUAGCUAUAUUAGAAUGUAGUUAAGUAUCAGAAUUUGAAGAGAUAUUUCACAGCUGGUUUUGGUUAUAGUUUGCUCUACUUGGAGGUGAAGUAGCUCUGUAUAUCGCUCUCUCGAUUUUAUAUUUGAAUCGUAAUAAAAAUAUGCAGUUUUGAAUGUUUUUAGCCAAAGAUUCUGAUUAUAAUUUUUUAUAAAUGUGGCUGCUAGUAGAUAAACUCCAAUAUUGAGAUUGAAUGGCCUAGUUUUGUUUUAUAUUUUGGUUUAAUUUAUAUGCCAUCUGAUUAAUUUUUUUAUAUCUUGGCUGUUAUAGUGAGUUCAUGUAUUGAAUAAGUUGUUUAGGUAUUGAAUAAGUUCUGUAACAUUUAUAUGUGCUUUCGUUGCUCCAAUGCUUGCUGCUUGGUUUAGAUUGAAAUAUCCCAUAUUGUUUCUAUGAUAUAGUUUCCUAGGAUUUCAAGGUCUAAAUUAUUCCGUCGUGGCGUGUCACCUCUGCUGCCCUCUCUUAUAAUCGGCUACCUCUCAUUAUAAACAAUCAUUCCCCUUUUCUAAUCUUUCUAUGAUCUCUAUCUUGGGUUUUUAAUUAGGACUCUGAUACAACUUACAAGAGUAAGUUAUACUCAUUUUAGUGCUUAGUAAUAUUUCCUAAAAAAUGUGAAAUGGAGAAGUUUUUAGUGCGUAGUGUAUCUUUCAGAAAUAAUAUUUUUGAGAUCUAAUGUUUGGUUUACGUGCCCGUUUGUACCUUUGCCUUUCUCCGCUAUUUUAUAUAUAGGUUGAUAAACAAAUCAGGUCUCUAACUAGUAUUCGGUUCAUUAGAUCUUCUUGUUAAUAAGUUCCAAUACAGUCGAUCGAAGAAGAAAGUGGCGGCAAUGGAGAUGCGAAAUAAAAUAAGUGGAGACGAUGGAGAUGGUCUCAUAUACAUAUCAGAGAUUCGUCUUUAUAGGUAUGAUUUCAAGUAUUACUAAUUUGGA